RNAcentral lists this transfer RNA (72 nucleotides) under Ictidomys tridecemlineatus (thirteen-lined ground squirrel). RNAcentral describes it as "Spermophilus tridecemlineatus (thirteen-lined ground squirrel) tRNA". It matches the Rfam family "tRNA". From Rfam's summary of the family: Transfer RNA (tRNA) molecules are approximately 80 nucleotides in length. Their secondary structure includes four short double-helical elements and three loops (D, anti-codon, and T loops). Lineage: Eukaryota; Metazoa; Chordata; Mammalia; Rodentia; Sciuridae. The record is from Rfam by way of RNAcentral.
GGGUAUGUAGCUUAGUGGUGGAGCACAUAUUUAGCAUCCAUGAAGCCCUGGGUUUAAUUCUCAGCACCACCA